Small nuclear RNA from Microcebus murinus (gray mouse lemur), 107 nucleotides. The record is from Ensembl. NCBI's taxonomy places the organism in Eukaryota, Metazoa, Chordata, Mammalia, Primates, Cheirogaleidae.
GCCCUUCCUUCAGCAGCACAUAUACUAAAAUUGGAAUGAGACAGAGAAGAUUAAAUUGGUUCCUGGACAAGGAUGACACACAAAUUUGUGAAGCAUUCCAUAUUUUA